GGAAGUAAAAAAGCGUAACAAGGUUUCCGUAGGUGAACCUGCGGAAGGAUCAUUAUCAAAACAGCGGACUUCGGUCCUUGCUGCACCCUUGUCUUUUGCGUACCGUAUGUUUCCUCGGCGGGCUUGCCUGCCGGUUGGACAUUAUCAAACCUUUUUGUAGUUGCAAUCAGCGUCAGAAAAUAAACAAUAAUUACAACUUUCAACAACGGAUCUCUUGGUUCUGGCAUCGAUGAAGAACGCAGCGAAAUGCGAAAAGUAGUGUGAAUUGCAGAAUUCAGUGAAUCAUCGAAUCUUUGAACGCACAUUGCGCCCCUUGGUAUUCCAUGGGGCAUGCCUGUUCGAGCGUCAUUUUGUACCCUCAAGCACUGCUUGGUGUUGGGCGUUUGUCCUGCAAAGGACUCGCCUGAAAGCGAUUGGCGGCCAACGUACUGGUGGUAGAGCGCAGCACAAUUUGCGUCUCUCCCUUCUACGUCGGCGUCCAUGAAGCCUUUUUUCAACGUUGACCUCGGAUCAGGUAG
This 518-nucleotide ribosomal RNA is filed under the name soil fungal sp. 4-M-1. RNAcentral describes it as "eukaryotic LSU rRNA". The stretch from base 195 to 348 matches the Rfam family "5.8S ribosomal RNA". Lineage: Eukaryota; Fungi. The record is from RNAcentral.